RNAcentral lists this ribosomal RNA (253 nucleotides) under uncultured bacterium. RNAcentral's name for it is "partial 16S ribosomal RNA". It matches the Rfam family "Bacterial small subunit ribosomal RNA", at positions 524 to 776 of the family's 1533-position model. The record is from RNAcentral.
UACGUAGGGUGCGAGCGUUGUCCGGAAUUAUUGGGCGUAAAGAGCUUGUAGGUGGCUCGUUGCGUCGGGAGUGAAAACCUGCGGCUUAACCGCAGGCCUGCUUCCGAUACGGGCGAGCUAGAGUUCGGCAGGGGAGACUGGAAUUCCUGGUGUAGCGGUGGAAUGCGCAGAUAUCAGGAGGAACACCGGUGGCGAAGGCGGGUCUCUGGGCCGAUACUGACACUGAGACGCGAAAGCGUGGGGAGCGAACAGG